RNAcentral lists this ribosomal RNA (324 nucleotides) under uncultured prokaryote. RNAcentral's name for it is "bacterial SSU rRNA". It matches the Rfam family "Bacterial small subunit ribosomal RNA", at positions 26 to 352 of the family's 1533-position model. The record is from RNAcentral.
AGAUUGAACGCUGGCGGCAUGCCUAACACAUGCAAGUCGAGCGGCAGCGCGGGGGCGACCCUGGCGGCGAGCGGCGGACGGGUGAGUAAGGCAUCGGAAUCUGCCCUGAUGUGGGGGAUAACGUAGGGAAACUUACGCUAAUACCGCAUACGACCGAGAGGUGAAAGCGGGGGACCGAAAGGCCUCGCGCAGCAGGAUGAGCCGAUGUCCGAUUAGCUGGUUGGUGGGGUAAAGGCCUACCAAGGCGACGAUCGGUAUCCGGCCUGAGAGGGCGCACGGACACACUGGAACUGAAACACGGUCCAGACUCCUACGGGAGGCAGC